GACGGAGGGCGCAAACGUUGUUCGGAAUCACUGGGCGUAAAGGGCGCGUAGGCGGGUUGGUAAGUCAGACGUGAAAUCCCGGGGCUCAACUCCGGGCCUGCGUUUGAAACUGCCAGCCUAGAGUGCAGGAGAGGAAGGCGGAAUUCCAGGUGUAGCGGUGGAAUGCGUAGAUAUCUGGAAGAACACCAGUGGCGAAGGCGGCCCUCUGGACUGACACUGACGCUGAGGCGCGAAAGCUAGGGGAGCAAACAGG
This 253-nucleotide ribosomal RNA is filed under the name uncultured bacterium. RNAcentral's name for it is "partial 16S ribosomal RNA". It matches the Rfam family "Bacterial small subunit ribosomal RNA", at positions 524 to 776 of the family's 1533-position model. The record is from RNAcentral.